AGAGUUUGAUCCUGGCUCAGGAUGAACGCUAGCGGCAGGCUUAAUACAUGCAAGUCGAGGGGCAGCACAGGUAGCAAUACUGGGUGGCGACCGGCAAACGGGUGCGGAACACGUACGCAACCUUCCUUUAAGCGGGGGAUAGCCCAGGGAAACUUGGAUUAAUACCCCAUAAGAUAACGGAGUGGCAUCACUUAGUUAUU
Molecule: ribosomal RNA, 200 nt
Filed under: uncultured bacterium
Lineage: Bacteria
Description: partial 16S ribosomal RNA
Rfam family: Bacterial small subunit ribosomal RNA
Source: RNAcentral